RNAcentral lists this ribosomal RNA (450 nucleotides) under uncultured bacterium. RNAcentral describes it as "bacterial SSU rRNA". It matches the Rfam family "Bacterial small subunit ribosomal RNA", at positions 29 to 524 of the family's 1533-position model. The record is from RNAcentral.
AGCGAACGCUGGCGGCAGGCCUAAAACAUGCAAGUCGAACGCCGUAGCAAUACGGAGUGGCAGACGGGUGAGUAACACGUGGGAACGUGCCCUUUGGUUCGGAACAACACAGGGAAACUUGUGCUAAUACCGGAUAAGCCCUUACGGGGAAAGAUUUAUCGCCAAAGGAUCGGCCCGCGUCUGAUUAGCUAGUUGGUGAGGUAACGGCUCACCAAGGCUACGAUCAGUAGCUGGUCUGAGAGGAUGAUCAGCCACACUGGGACUGAGACACGGCCCAGACUCCUACGGGAGGCAGCAGUUAGGAAUCUUGGACAAUGGGCGCAAGCCUGAUCCAGCCAUGCCGCGUGAGUGAUGAAGGCCUUAGGGUUGUAAAGCUCUUUCAGCGGGGAAGAUAAUGACGGUACCCGCAGAAGAAGCCCCGGCUAACUUCGUGCCAGCCGCCGCGGUAAG